RNAcentral lists this ribosomal RNA (1410 nucleotides) under human gut metagenome. RNAcentral describes it as "bacterial LSU rRNA". It matches the Rfam family "Bacterial large subunit ribosomal RNA", at positions 1533 to 2925 of the family's 2925-position model. The record is from RNAcentral.
UAGGCAAAUCCGUGCACUGAAAGCCUGAGGCGUGAUGCGGAGUGAGCAGAGAUGCGAGCGAAGUUGUUGACCCCACACUGUCGAGAAAAGCUUCUAGUGAGAGAGCUACCGCCCGUACCGUAAACCGACACAGGUAUGCGGGGAGAGAAUCCUAAGGUGCGCGGGAGAACCCUCGUUAAGGAACUCGGCAAAAUGUACCCGUAACUUCGGGAUAAGGGUAGCCACUGUUGUGAAGUCCCAUGCGGAUGGAGCAUAGAGUGGUCGCAGAGAAGAGGCCCAAGCGACUGUUUACCAUAAACACAGGUGCCUGCUAAAGCGAAAGCUGACGUAUAGGUGCUGACACCUGCCCAGUGCCGGAAGGUUAAGGAAGGAUGUUCGGAUUAGUCCAAAGCAUUCGACUGAAGCCCCGGUGAACGGCGGCCGUAACUAUAACGGUCCUAAGGUAGCGAAAUUCCUUGUCGGGUAAGUUCCGACCCGCACGAAAGGUGUAACGAUUUGGGCACUGUCUCAACGAGGGACCCGGUGAAAUUGAAAUACCUGUGAAGAUGCAGGUUACCCGCGACUGGACAGAAAGACCCCAUGGAGCUUUACUGUAACCUGACAUUGGGUUUUGAUACAUUACGUACAGGAUAGGUGGGAGGCUUGGAAAGUUGGACGCUAGUCUGACUGGAGCCGACGUUGGGAUACCACCCUUGAUGUAUUGAAAUUCUAACCGCGAGAGUAACGAAAUCCGGGACAGUGUCAGGCGGGCAGUUUGACUGGGGCGGUCGCCUCCGAAAGAGUAACGGAGGCGCCCAAAGGUUCCCUCAGCGCGGCCGGAAAUCGCGCGAAGAGUGUAAAGGCAGAAGGGAGCUUGACUGCGAGUCAAACACGACGAGCAGGUACGAAAGUAGGGCUUAGUGAUCCGGUGGUACCGAGUGGAAGGGCCAUCGCUCAACGGAUAAAAGCUACCCUGGGGAUAACAGGCUAAUCUCUCCCAAGAGUCCAUAUCGACGGGGAGGUUUGGCACCUCGAUGUCGGCUCAUCACAUCCUGGGGCUGAAGUCGGUCCCAAGGGUUGGGCUGUUCGCCCAUUAAAGUGGUACGUGAGCUGGGUUCAGAACGUCGUGAGACAGUUCGGUCCCUAUCCAUCGCGGGCGCAAGAGAUUUGAAGGGGGCUGCUCCUAGUACGAGAGGACCGGAGUGGACGAACCGCUGGUGUACCAAUUAUCCCGCCAGGGGUACAGUUGGGUAGCUACGUUCGGAAAGGAUAAACGCUGAAAGCAUCUAAGCGUGAAACCAGCCUUAAGAUGAGAUCUCUCAUAGAGCAAUCUAGUAAGACACCUUAAAGAAGAUGAGGUUGAUAGGUCGGGAGUGUAAGUACAGCAAUGUAUUGAGCGGACCGAUACUAAUAUGUCGAGGGCUUGACUUA